GACGAACGCUGGCGGCGUGCUUAACACAUGCAAGUCGAACGGAAAGGCCCUGCUUGCCGGGUGCUCGAGUGGCGAACGGGUGAGUAACACGUGGGUGAUCUGCCCCUUACUUUGGGAUAAGCCUGGGAAACUGGGUCUAAUACUGGAUAGGACCAUGCUGUAGGUGGUGUGGUGGAAAGAUUAGUUUCGGUAAGGGAUGAGCUCGCGGCCUAUCAGCUUGUUGGUGGGGUAAUGGCCUACCAAGGCGUCGACGGGUAGCCGGCCUGAGAGGGUGGACGGCCACAUUGGGACUGAGAUACGGCCCAGACUCCUGCGGGAGGCAGCAGUGGGGAAUAUUGCACAAUGGGCGCAAGCCUGAUGCAGCGACGCCGCGUGGGGGAUGACGGCCUUCGGGUUGUAAACUCCUUUCGGCCAUGACGAAGCCCUUGUGGUGACGGUAGUGGUAGAAGAAGCACCGGCUAACUACGUG
Molecule: ribosomal RNA, 469 nt
Filed under: uncultured bacterium
Lineage: Bacteria
Description: partial 16S ribosomal RNA
Rfam family: Bacterial small subunit ribosomal RNA
Source: RNAcentral